UUUUGUCCUAUGCAUGGAUUUGAUUCCCAUUUGACAUGGUUUCCCCUUAAUAUGGGGUUAAAGACUCGCAUUGUUCUCAAUUACAUUUUUAGGGGGGCCAACCCGAAUGGUGAGCUGGUUUCAUGUUACGGUGGAAAACUUCUUCAUUCAGGGAUGGUCCCAGGACUGUCUGCGUUGCAACAAUCUGGAGUCGAUUUAUGGAACUAACAUUUCCCUUCUUUCCCCUACGACUCUAUACUUGUGUGCCGGUGGUAAACUUUAUCAUCUGGAUCGUUAAGUUGCCGACAUCAGAGACCGAACUGUUAACAGGAACGGAAAACAGUGAGAGCACAGCUGGAUGCCCUCAGCGAGUGAUGGGACUUUGGGUUGGUUUCCUUGAAGACAGGGUGGAAGUGCUUCUAGAAGGCUGAGUGGAGGAAACAUUGCGUCUGGUGGAAGAGUUUUUGUUUCUGAAUCAGAUGUGGGAUGAAGAAUGUAUCAUGGUAUUAGGAAAAGGUGGACUAUAAUGGCAAUUUGUAAUUUUUUGAUGCUUGCCAUAGAAACACUUCCCACCUUGGAAGAUUCCAAAGAUAGGUGGAGACAAAACUCCCCUCUCACUACCAAAGCAAGAGGCUCAGGCUAUUUCUCCUGGGGAUUUUUGAGUCAUGCGAGAGGGACACGAGAUCCAAGACAGUUGCGAGUUAACUGGAUGGUGCAGAGACCAGUAGGGUGAGCGCUGCAUCCUUACCUGAGUGCUCCUGGGUGUGACCUUGGAUAUAUUCCCAGAUGCGUAAGUGUCCUUGGUUACAUUUUCCCCAGUCAUUUCUCCAACUCUAUGUGCUAUGAGAUUACCUUUAAAGAAAUUCCUUUCCUGCAUAAUAAGCUGUUAUUGUUUGUAUAUGUCAAUGUUUGCAUCCAAGAGCCAGACUGGUAAAAUCAUAAUAUUUAAUUGGUUUUUUAUUAUUUGGAUUAUUUGCAUUUUUAAUAUAAGUAGUGCUGCAAUGAAUUAUUCACAAAGCUUUUCUCCCCCUGUAUUUAAGAUUAUUUUCUUAAUAUACAGGUUCAAC
This 1046-nucleotide long non-coding RNA is filed under the name Ursus maritimus (polar bear). RNAcentral describes it as "lncRNA (ENSUMAG00000014754.1)". The record is from RNAcentral. Lineage: Eukaryota; Metazoa; Chordata; Mammalia; Carnivora; Ursidae.